GGUGCUUGCACCUUUCAAGUGAGUGGCGAACGGGUGAGUAACACGUGGACAACCUGCCUCAAGGCUGGGGAUAACAUUUGGAAACAGAUGCUAAUACCGAAUAAAACUUAGUGUCGCAUGACAAAAAGUUAAAAGGCGCUUCGGCGUCACCUAGAGAUGGAUCCGCGGUGCAUUAGUUAGUUGGUGGGGUAAAGGCCUACCAAGACAAUGAUGCAUAGCCGAGUUGAGAGACUGAUCGGCCACAUUGGGACUGAGACACGGCCCAAACUCCUACGGGAGGCUGCAGUAGGGAAUCUUCCACAAUGGGCGAAAGCCUGAUGGAGCAACGCCGCGUGUGUGAUGAAGGCUUUCGGGUCGUAAAGCACUGUUGUAUGGGAAGAACAGCUAGAAUAGGAAAUGAUUUUAGUUUGACGGUACCAUACCAGAAAGGGACGGCUAAAUACGUGCCAGCAGCCGCGGUAAUACGUAUGUCCCGAGCGUUAUCCGGAUUUAUUGGGCGUAAAGCGAGCGCAGACGGUUUAUUAAGUCUGAUGUGAAAGCCCGGAGCUCAACUCCGGAAUGGCAUUGGAAACUGGUUAACUUGAGUGCAGUAGAGGUAAGUGGAACUCCAUGUGUAGCGGUGGAAUGCGUAGAUAUAUGGAAGAACACCAGUGGCG
RNAcentral lists this ribosomal RNA (656 nucleotides) under Leuconostoc mesenteroides. RNAcentral's name for it is "bacterial SSU rRNA". It matches the Rfam family "Bacterial small subunit ribosomal RNA", at positions 75 to 717 of the family's 1533-position model. The record is from RNAcentral. Lineage: Bacteria; Bacillati; Bacillota; Bacilli; Lactobacillales; Lactobacillaceae.